UUUCACAUGUCAUUUAUCUUUCACACGAAUGUUGCAUCUAUCUGCUCCUGACCCGGCAGCCCCCUGUUCAAUUUUAGGACAAUUGUGGCCCGCGAGUCAAAACGUUUGCCCACGCCUGGGUUAGAUGAACUGAUUCCAGAUUUUGAGCUAUUGUUUUUGCUUACCGCAGCUCAGCAAACAUCUUAAAUGUCCCUGCACUCCUUCGACCUAGUUGUUUACAGUAAUCAAUUCAUCUACAGUCUGUGUUUUCAUGUAGUCUCUUCUUUUUAUCGACAUAUUGUUCUUCCUUCCAAAAUACAUAGGAACCUCGGUUCUCUAACUUAAUUGGUUCCUGAAAAUCGUUCGUGAACCGAAAAGUUUGCGAGAACUGAAACAAUUUUCCCGCAAGUGCUCAAUCUGUGAUCACUUGCUUCCCGCCUGAUAUCGUUGGCUUGUUCGGCAACUGAGUUAUAUUCCCAUAACUUGGGGCAAAUUCUUGGUUAAAAAUUUUGUUCGUGAACCAAAUAUGUUCUAGAAAUGGAAGCGUUGGACAACCGAGAUUCCUCUGUAUUUAAAUUGAGGGAUUUUUUUUUAGUUAAGUUAAAUGUAGGCGUUUACAGUUGGAAAAAACGUGUUUACCCACGUGGCAAUGUUGUACAGAACCUUCGUGGACUGCUGUUUGAUGCUGAAAACACCAAAACAUGACGUGGCUAAGGCAAACGUGUGAGUUCUGAUUUGCCAAACAUUAAGCAGAAACAAUACCAAUAAAAUAGAAAGAGAGAUUCAAGUUAAUCACUGGUAGCAGAAUAAGAUGUUAUGAGUUCACAGCUAAAUUUGUAUUUUCACCAAAAUAGAAGAACCAAAAACGCCUCUCACAUGUUUGAAUUGUACAGUAAGGGUGUAAUGCACCCAAAAUGCUUGGUUGUCUGGUGAUGAGGUUAUGGUUGAGGUUAUGAAGUAUGUUAUGGUUAUGGUUAGAAACCACGCUAUUUGGAAACAAGUGUAAGAGAAAAGUAGAAGUAGUUUACGUAAUUCAGCAGUAGUUGAAUUGGUUUCAUGUAGCCGGAGUACAUGUGACGAUACAUUAUUAGAAGAGAACAGGGAAUUGUCAGGCCUACCUACACGGCUGCUGCCCUUCCUGAGUUAUCCAUCCAUCCAUCCAUCAUCGUCCGCUUAUCCGGGGCCGGGUCGCGGGGGUAGCAGUCGGAGCAGGGACACCCAGCCCUCCCUCUCUCCCCAGACACUUUCUCCAGCUUUUCUGGAGGGGAUCCCUAGGUGUUCCCAGGUCAGCCGAGCGACAUGGACGCUGCAGUGUGUCCUGGGUCUUCCUCUGGGUCUCCUCCAGGUGGGACAUGACACGAGCACCUCCCGAGGGAGCCUUCCGGGGAGGAGGGGUUUCGAUGUAAAUGCCCAAGUUACAUCUUGAUGUAUAAGUGCAUUGGCUCUACUUUGAGCUCCUCUUGGGUGACAGAGCUCCUCACCUUAUCUCUGAGGGAGCACUCUGCUCAUUUCGGCCGCUUGUAUCCGGGAUCUUGUUCUUUCGGUCAUGACUCAAAGUUCAUGACCAUAGGUGAGGGUGGGAUCAUAGAUAGACUGGUAAAUCGAGAGCCUUGCCUUUCGGCUCAGCUCCUUCUUCACCACAACGGACCGAUACGGCGACCGCAUUACUGUGUUAAUGUUAUUUAAUUACCUAUCCCUUUGUUUGUUUUUUUUCGUGUUUAUUUUUUUUUUACACUUAAUCAGACCCGGUUUUCAAAAAAACCUGCUGUGCCUCAACAAUGCAGUCUGUAUACCACUCUGUACAUCUGCCUCUUUAAAAGGUUUUUUUUUUUUUUUUUUCCCCAACCUGUUGUUGCUGAAUUUGACUGUGUAAAGUUUUACAAAUUGAAUGUAAAAAUUGUGUGUUUUUCUAUAAAUAGUUUUUUCCCCUUACGGCCCCCAAUUUCAGGAAAUUGCAUAAUACAAAUUAAAAACGCCCAAUAGUCACUCAUUUUGGAAAAGGAGACGGGCAUGCUAAGCACCGCAUUAUACUAACUGAAGACAUGAGCUACUCUUGGUUUGAGUAUUUACAAAAUUCAAAGUGCACCAAACAUUUUCAACACGACACUGGUCCAGACGAAACUGCACUGUUCCUGAGAACAGUGGCACAGAUGUCGAACUCCUUUUCACCUUUAUAGAUGUAACCACUCCAUACGAUGUUAAUACAUUUUCCUGGAAUUGAUUAUUAUUUAUAUAAAUUACAAAUAUUGUUCAUUCAUGUGUAAAAAAAACCCCAAACGUUUAAUUUAACAGAAAGAAACGCAGCAGCAUGGACUUUAUUAAAUGCUUUUUUUUUUUUUAAGUUCUUGCGGGCCAUACAAAACGACUUAGGCGGGCCACAUUUGGACCGCGGGCCUUGAGUUUGACACGUGCUGUAGGUUAUAUUUCUUUGAAUACAUAUCUUGUGAUGUUAUAUAUAUAUAUAUUAAAGGUAAAUGAGAAAUAUUAUUGAAAUAUGGUUACGAAAACAAUAUUCGAGUUUAAAGCUUAAAACGUACACGACAUUCAAAAUGUAUACCUUUAAAAAAAAAUUCAUAUUCGAUUUUAUGUUUAUUGAGUUCCGCAGAUUCCCUAAAUGAUACCAUCCCCAAGUCCACGCACCGCUGUCAGUCGUUGAUAACGAUGGGUGAAGGAAGACGACCGAGGAAACGGGAGACCAGGCUGGAGGAAGUAGGAUGUUGCGAGAAUACAAAAGCAACGCGAUAAUAAGUGGAAAUUUAAUUAACUCUACAGGUGUUUGGGUGUUGUAGCAACCUCAGUAACUUUUAACGAAGCCGGGGAAUUCCACUGGGGGACCAUGUUCGCAUCCACAGCAGCAGGCAGGUCUUCCGAGCAGCAGCAGCAACAGCAGCAGCGCCCCGCAGCAGCCAGCUCAACCACCCCCAACGAUAACACGGGCC
Long non-coding RNA from Cynoglossus semilaevis (tongue sole), 2918 nucleotides. RefSeq lists it as uncharacterized. The record is from RefSeq and is a predicted model, not a curated record. NCBI's taxonomy places the organism in Eukaryota, Metazoa, Chordata, Actinopteri, Pleuronectiformes, Cynoglossidae. The transcript is spliced from 3 exons.